RNAcentral lists this ribosomal RNA (492 nucleotides) under uncultured bacterium. Its description in RNAcentral is "partial 16S ribosomal RNA". It matches the Rfam family "Bacterial small subunit ribosomal RNA", at positions 29 to 507 of the family's 1533-position model. The record is from RNAcentral.
AGUGAACGCUGGCGGUAGGCCUAACACAUGCAAGUCGAACGGCAGCACAGUAAGAGCUUGCUCUUACGGGUGGCGAGUGGCGGACGGGUGAGGAAUACAUCGGAAUCUACUUUUUCGUGGGGGAUAACGUAGGGAAACUUACGCUAAUACCGCAUACGACCUACGGGUGAAAGCAGGGGAUCUUCGGACCUUGCGCGAUUGAAUGAGCCGAUGUCGGAUUAGCUAGUUGGCGGGGUAAAGGCCCACCAAGGCGACGAUCCGUAGCUGGUCUGAGAGGAUGAGCAGCCACACUGGAACUGAGAAACGGUCCAGACUCCUACGGGAGGCAGCAGUGGGGAAUAUUGGACAAUGGGCGCAAGCCUGAUCCAGCCAUACCGCGUGGGUGAAGAAGGCCUUCGGGUUGUAAAGCCCUUUUGUUGGGAAAGAAAAGCAGCAGGUUAAUACCCCGCUGUUCUGACGGUACCCAAAGAAUAAGCACCGGCUAGCUUCGUG